This 435-nucleotide ribosomal RNA is filed under the name uncultured bacterium. RNAcentral's name for it is "partial 16S ribosomal RNA". It matches the Rfam family "Bacterial small subunit ribosomal RNA", at positions 29 to 507 of the family's 1533-position model. The record is from RNAcentral.
AACGAACGCUGGCGGCAGGCUUAACACAUGCAAGUCGAACGGGAAUAGCAAUAUGUCAGUGGCAGACGGGUGAGUAACGCGUGGGAACGUACCUUUUGGUUCGGAACAACACAGGGAGACUUGUGCUAAUACCGGAUAAGCCCUUACGGGGAAAGAUUUAUCGCCGGAAGAUCGGCCCGCGUCGGAUUAGCUAGUUGGUAGGGUAAUGGCCUACCAAGGCGACGAUCAGUAGCUGGUCUGAGAGGAUGAUCAGCCACAUUGGGACUGAGACACGGCCCAAACUCCUACGGGAGGCAGCAGUGGGGAAUAUUGGACAAUGGGCGAAAGCCUGAUCCAGCCAUGCCGCGUGAGUGAUGAAGGCCCUAGGGUUGUAAAGCUCUUUUGUGCGGGAAGAUAAUGACGGUACCGCAAGAAUAAGCCCCGGCUAACUUCGUG